GACAGAGGCCUCGAGCGUUAGGCGGAAUCACUGGGCUUAAAGCGUGUGUAGGCGGAUCGUUAAGUGCCUUGUGAAAUCCCACGGCUUAACUGUGGAACGGCUGGGCAUACUGGCGGUCUUGAGCCAUCUAGGGGCGACUGGAACAAACGGUGGAGCGGUGAAAUGCGUAGAUAUCGUUUGGAACGCCAAUGGUGAAAACAGGUAGCUGGGAGUGUGCUGACGCUGAGACACGAAAGCCAGGGGAGCGAACGGG
RNAcentral lists this ribosomal RNA (253 nucleotides) under uncultured bacterium. Its description in RNAcentral is "partial 16S ribosomal RNA". It matches the Rfam family "Bacterial small subunit ribosomal RNA", at positions 524 to 776 of the family's 1533-position model. The record is from RNAcentral.